AAAGGAUGAAUCAUUAGUGCUGCAUAUAUAACGGAUCGGCCACUUGUUCUCGAUUUUCUUGAUUGCGAUCGAGCUUAGAGUUCAAGUAUACCCCAUAACCCCAAAGAAUUUAAAGUUUUCUUUGCCGUUUGGAUUUUCUUAGAUAAUUGGAAACGGCAGAUGUCGAUGCCGGGAAUAUGCAGCUUUAUUUUU
This 192-nucleotide non-coding RNA is filed under the name Megaphragma amalphitanum. Lineage: Eukaryota; Metazoa; Arthropoda; Insecta; Hymenoptera; Trichogrammatidae. The record is from RNAcentral.